UGUUAAAUGUGAACGAUAAACGAUUUAUUUAUUUCCGCGAUACAUAAACUUAUUUGCAUUUCGAUAAAGUUGGAGAUGGUGUAAGAUCGGUUAAGCAGCUCGUCCGUGUCGAUUACGCAAGAGAUUUGUCUCGGACUGACAUCAUUCUUUGGCACGGGUAGUACAGAAAAGAUGCGAUUUACACGGACAGUAAAGUCGUUUCUUCAGUUGGCAUUUUCCAACAAGCGAGGAGUCUCUUUUGCGGCUUGCCGAGCUAGAAGACUCUCGACGACCUUGCAAUGCCAUCGGGUAUGCCAUGCAAAACGCUAACUCUAACUCGCGUGCACCUUUUUUUCUUUCUUGCUUGUUUCUUUCUUCUCUUUCUACCAUGACUAUUAUGUCGCUAUGAUGAAACGAUUGGAUGGAUGGAUGGAUGGAUGGAUGGGUGAAUAGAUAUCUGUUUCUCUUUUCCGUCUUUUUUUUUUUUUGGAUUUAACGUUAACUCACGUCAGAACCAAUUUCUUUCGAUUUAGCUCGAUUCGAGGAAAAUUGCCAAUUAUGGGAAGCUAGUCUAAUUUAAGGAUAUGUCUGUUUAUGUAUAACAACAGAAAAAAAAAAAUGCUAUGCUCAUCUUUGAUAACGAACGCAAUUUAUAGAAAAAUCUUUGGAAAUUUUUCAAACUCGUCGACAAAAACUGCGCUUGCCCGAUUAUUUUCUAACAUAAUCGAUCGAUUCGAUAAAUGUACGAAUUUCGACAAAUUUACAAGAGGAUCGUUUACUACGAACACAUUUUACGAUCGAUUACAAACACGUUCAUUUAAAUCAACAGAAAGCAACACGUGCGAUCAAAGCCAUUAGAAAAAUAUCGAAACUCGAGAGAAAAUGUAAACUCUUCUGUUUUAUCUCAACUUCCUUUUUCGCGAAUCAUCGAUGCCUAUCCGACGUGUUGAUAUCAUUUGAAAUUUAAAUUACAAAUUAUUUUAAUCCAUGUUGUAAGCAGAGAUUCGAAAAUAAAAUUGAAAAAAGAAAAGAAAAAGAAGGAAAGAAUAAGAAUAAAAAUAAAAAUAAGAAGAGGAAGAAAAAAAAAGAAAAAGAAGAAGAAGAAGAAAGAUCAUCAAGAAUGUUUUUAAUAAUAUUCUAAAAGGAAAGUAUUUUCUUUCGAUAGAAAUUCGAAAAGUUUUUUUAAAACACUUCUUACGAGAAUCAAAUACCACGAGGACGAAUUUUGCGACAUCAUUUUCGUACUAUUUAUAUGAGAAUGUAUGUAUGUAUGUAUGUAUGAAUGAAUGAAUGAAUGAAUGAAUGAAUGAACUAGGAGAGGUAUAAAGAUAAAUUCAACAUUCUCUCUCUUUCUCUUUCAAAAGUCCAGUGUGAAAAGAAAAAGAAAUAAAAAGAAUAAAAGAAGAAAUAAAAGAAGAAAAAAAGAAAUAAAAAAGAAUAAAGAUAAACGAACGGAGAAUUAAAUGAAGAGGAGCUAUGAAGUUACGGAAGUGUGAAAGGUAGAUAAAAGAGGAAAGAGAAUAAAUAAAAGAAAAGAAAGAAAAAAGAAAGAGAGAGAGAGAGAGAAAGAGAGAGAAAAAAAAGAAACAGAAUGAAAGAAAGAGAUAAAUGCUGCAUUACACGUUUAUACGCCUCAGAAUAUAUCGAUUCUACUUUACGUAAUCGAAUAGAAAAUAGUUGCUCACUUAAUCUCCAAGAAUGAAACAUCGAAGAAACGUACUAGACUCUCAACAGAGUCCUUUUUCCUACGAAUACACAGUUAGAGUUCGAGCUGUGUAUACGAAUGCGAAUGGCAUUAUAAUGAACGAAAGCAAGAUACGUGUACGUGGAUCUACACGAUCUUAUGUUAGUUAUCUCUUACAUAACGCACGUCGCACACAAUUUUCCUGUAAACAACGACAUUUUCAACGUCUAUUCGUAGAGUCUCACGAUCUAAAGUUAUCAAAAAAAAAAAAAAUAUAUGUAUAUAUGUACAUAGACGCAAAAGAAUGAUAUCGUUAAACAAAAUAAAACAAAACAGAAAUAAC
Molecule: long non-coding RNA, 2006 nt
Organism: Vespula vulgaris
Lineage: Eukaryota; Metazoa; Arthropoda; Insecta; Hymenoptera; Vespidae
Exons: 2
Source: RefSeq, a predicted model, not a curated record